Taeniopygia guttata (zebra finch) is the source of this 4837-nucleotide long non-coding RNA. RefSeq lists it as uncharacterized. NCBI's taxonomy places the organism in Eukaryota, Metazoa, Chordata, Aves, Passeriformes, Estrildidae. The record is from RefSeq and is a predicted model, not a curated record.
UUUUCAAAGAUCUGUUUAUUAAUUGUCACCAAGGCCACUUAGGAGCAGCUAAUCAUGGGUGUGAGGAGGCACCCAGAAGGGGCUGAUGCCUCAAACACCGAGAGCCAGCCCGCCCUCCGUCCCUCCCUCCCUUCCCCCCUCCUCCCUUCCCUGGCAGUUCUGGACAGAGUUCUGUAUCUGAAACUUGUCUGCGGCCUUAUGGCUCAGGAGGUGGCCAGGGUGACCGUCACUGAGAUGUCUGCAGAGGAGUCCACAUGGAUCGGUCCCUUUUCCAUCCCUGUAGGAGGCACCCACCCCCGGUGCCCGCCUCGGAAGAGCUGCGGCAGGAGCUGCAGGUUGUGCGGGACGGGGAAUGGCCGAAGCCCCCGGCAAGGGGCCGGGAAUGGACACUGAUCCUUUGCUGACCAUAGGCUCGGGGCCCUGCGGCGCCGGGCGAGGGUAUGCCGCUUAUCCCGGGACUCUGCGGAAGCCGGAACAGCGAAAGAGCCCGGGCUAAACAUUAGCACCGGGGCCUGAGGGAGUCUCCCUGUCCCGGAUCCCCAUCCGCGGCCUGGGGCAGCUCCCGGGAUCUUUAGGGCAGGGAGAAGCCGGAGGUACUUAAUUUGGAUGGGUUAUAACAGUGGCUGUUGACAUGGGUGUGUGUAACAAAAAGGAACUUCGGUUCCUUUCCGUGUAAUACUUUCUGUAGCAUUUGGGACACGAUCUUGCUGGUAUCUCAGAAGGGAAAAGACAACAAAUGAGAGACAGAAACAGGAAUGACAGAGGUCUGGCAUGGCUUAUACCCCCACCUCCCCUGCCUAUGGGGUUGCUUCCCACAGCAGGUACGUGUGAUCUUCUCGGUGGUGAGUACAGUGCUCAGUCCAGGCUUGCCCUCUGUUUCCCUUGUCACUCCUUUUUACUCAUUUUUAUUUUGGCAAGUCCUUUUUGACACUCCUUAACUGUGGCUUCCCACUGUUCCUCAGGUAUUUCUCAGCUAACAGGCACUGAUAAUUCCCAUCCACAAGACAAAGUUAUUACUUCAGUUGUUUUGAGUUUUAUCUGUAUAGGGGAUAGAUUCAGUACUUGAUACUUCUUGCAAUGAGAGCAUACAUUUUGUGAACUACAAUACCAAUUAUUCUCAUAAUUUGAACAUUUACUUAUAACCCAUCUAGCGUGUCCAGUAUUGGGAUGAAUCAAAUAAAGUAUACAGUAUAGUAUUAAUGGUAAUUUCUCUUCUUCCCUGUACAAGUCACAGACUAAGGCCAGAAUAUAAGAACUCUUUGAUUAAAAUAGUCCUGAUCCUCCUGUUUGAAGUGGCAGUGUUCCUCUCCCGAGGAGGUGUCAAAGGCGUCUUAGGGCUUAUUCAGGCAAUGCUUAAAACCAGUGAUGCAAGCUUUGCCUUAUUUCUCAGUGAGGUGUUAUUCUUUGUACUUUCCUUGGUUCAUUUGGGUCUUCCCAAACCAUUACCACUCAGUCCCAGUUGAAAGUCAAUUUGGUAUCACCCGGUUUAGAUGUGAUAGUCCAUUCCUUACAUUUCUUCAUAAAUUCUUUGAUUUUGCUGUCAUGAAUUCACCCUCUUUCUGUGGUUCGGAUUGCUGUUUUAGUGGUACCUGGAAAGGACUUCUUAAUAACACAGUGUUAAAAGAAAAACAAUACUGCAUUAACUUUUACCAUUAGUUUUCUUCAAAACUUUUUGGAUUUAACUAAAAACUUUUUCUACAUCCGCUUCUUCUUCUAGUGUCCAGCUGUGUUAAUAGCUGCAGAGGCCAAUUCUUCUUCCUGUGAGCUAUAAUCAGUUAAAUAAAAAAAGGUUAGGUUAAUUUUAACACAAGAUGUAUCACGUCUCUUGCUUUUUACUUUUUGGGCAACAUUUAACUUUUAGUCUUACAGACCCAUUCUUCAGAACAAAAGUCUCCUCUUCUUAACAACAAAAAUCAGAAAGAAAAAGAUACCUUGUUUAAAAAAAUAAACCACUUUGUGAGAGUCAGCUAUCUCUGCCUUGAUCUUCUCUCUAGCAGUGGUCCCACUCUCCCUCUUUUCACAGCUUUGCGUUUAACUCGUGUCUUCUGCCUCUCCCCCCUUGUUGUUACUCUACCUAGCAGGGAUGGGGGAGAACUUAGAGACAGCCAUGGACGUGGGGAGCUUAGAGGCUUAUUUCACUCUCCCCUUCGCUCUCUCUCUCUAUGUCUCCCUUUCUCUCUGUCUCUCUUUUUCUCUCUUCACAUUUAACAUCUACAUUCCAACAUCAGUCCACUUUCUAACGUUAGUCUACAUUUACUUUUGUUAUGCGUGUUCUGCAGUUGUGUAAUUCAUGGCACCCUCCACCAAGGCUACUGGCCACUCACAGCUGACACAGUGCCAAAACUAAAGACUUGUUUUACUAUCACUAUUUUUCCAUUCACAAGCUUGAACGAGGUAAAUAACAACUUACUUCCAAAGUGACCCUGCAUGCACUAAAAAAUUUAAGGCAAUGCUAGUUAGUGCAAUGCAAUUUGCAACGAAGCCAAGGUUUGACUUGGGAAGGGCAUCUGAGGACACAGAGCAUGAAUUUUACAAUUCUAUAAUUUGAAGAGGGAAUGGACAAAAUAUGAAUAGAGGGGACAGCAAGUAAGGAAUUUGUCUCUGCAAUACUUUCUCUUUGACUGCCAGGAAACAGAGUCUAAAGAGGUUCUUACGGUACCAACAAUAACUGUAUGGGAAGAGGCGCUCUUGAAUUCAAGCUUGAAUGUCAAAAUAGGAAACUGCCCCUGAGCACUGCAGUGCUGGAGCACCCUGCCUGCAAACUCACCAGAGGCAAGCCACUGCUGCCACGCUGCAGGGCUGCCUGCAGCACAGAGGGAAUCAUGGCCAAGCCCUCCCUGCAGGCGUGGAUAAACCAAACAAGGAACUCACAACUUCCUCACAGCUUUCCAACUCAUUCAAGAAAUAAAACUACAGCCAGCAGAGAUCCCCCCCAUCUUUUUCAUGUGUGUGUGUGUGUCACACACCCAUAGUGAUGCUGAAAGUAACAAAUUACAGUUUACAUUAAAGAUACUGAAACCUUUUCUUCAUCUAGCUUUGUAGGUUCCCUUCUAUAUAUGUAGCCACCUCUAAUUCUGGAUCAAAAAUGAGCCCUAUUUUUCAGAAAUGCUACGUAUACACAAGUUGAGCUGCUGUUCCAGGUGCACUGCAAGUAGUCCGCACUUCCAGAAAAACUAACAAAAAAAAAGCAAAAGCCAAGAAAGCAAAACACCUUUGGGUACAUGAAAAAGGACUGGCUGGAAGGAAAAAUGUUUCUCAUUGACCUACUAAGCAGAUGGUGUUACCUUUAGUUUAACUUUACACACUGAGAACCAGUUGAUUGAACAGCUUCCCAUUGACUCAAAAUAAAUGAAAAGCAGGUUUUGCUAUAUCACAGCUGUAAAUAGUUUUCCAAUCUUAGAGUACAGCGAGUUACAUAUUUCAAGAUGAAAAAUCACAAUGAAAAUUGGAAGAAAUAAUUUAAACUACUUGUACAUAGCAAAGGGAAGAGAAUUAGCUGAAUCAACAGCUCAAUGAAGACAUCUGCUCAGCAUGAAGCAUCCUCCCCUAUUUCUUUCCCCAUGCUGAACUACCUUGUUAAUUUUUUUUUUUAUCCUCUUGGCCUAAUUUUGAAACUCUAGCUGUCAUCUGCCCAUCUUCUGGGAUAAUCCCUAUUCCUAAUUUCACUUGUUAAAUCUCAUCCCAAUAAGUUGUUACCCACCCCUGGGACUAAUAAAACAUCCCCUAUUUAAAAUUUAGUUUCUCCCUCAAUUACCACAUUUUUAAUGACAGGAACUGUAAAACUCCUUUUUGCUCCUGUCACUUUACAGUAUUUUUGUUCACAGUAUAACAUUUUGGAAUAUUUAACAGACAGUUUCUUUCUGCCCCUGUGUCUAUCACAAAUUCCAAUUAUUUUUCUUGGGGACCCACUUUUAAAGUUAUCACAGGCUCUAGAUAGUAUUUGUCCAUUAAAAAAUAGUCUCUGACAUCUUUAUUCUUCCUCUGUGCUUAUUUCUCAGAAGAUUUUCAGAUCUGUUUCCCUCUUAGGACAAUCUCUCCUAUAAUGUCCUUUGCUCUUACAGUAAAAGCAGACAUUCCUGGAAUGCUCCUCACACUUGGUUUGUAUUGGGGUUUUAUUCUUUCCUGUUCCCCUGUCUCUACUACUGUCAUGAAUCUGGUAGUAGUGUUUGUGUGGUUUUGCUUUUUUUUUUUUUUUUUUGUAAUUGUUUUCUCAUAUGGUGACUGCUACAAUCCUUGCUUUUAGUUUGGCUUUGGUCACAGACUUUCUGAGCCUCCUUUAAUAAAUCAUUUAAUGAUUUGUUAUGCUGAUCUUCAAUUUUUUCUAAUUUUUUCCUAAUAUCUGGCCAAGCACCAGUAACAAAGUUAAUACUUCACAAAGCUUUUCUCACAUCAAUCUCAUGACCUGUUCCGGAACGUUGCCUUAUAUUUCUCCCAAGUCUGUCUAACCAUUCGGUUGGAGCCUCCUCUUUCCCCUGCUGUGCCUCAAAAGCCUUGUCAGCAUUUUGCCCUCGAGUACUGCCCCUCCCAUUCUCUUGACCAUUAAAUUCCUGACCCCGUUCAGCAGGUGCUUCCUCUAGAGAGUUUCCCUUCGAGCCGGGGCAACUUGCAAAAGGAUCCCAGUCUCUUUCUUUCCUCCCUUCCUCCUGUUCCCAGCCUUUUUCUCCCAUCUCCCCCCAAUCCCCCCCGCCCCGUUUUUUCCUCUCUUGCGUUGUCUCGGUGGUUUCUGAUACUUUGAAGAUUUUUUUAUUCUCCUAAAAUCUCCCAUUCAGCAUAUGGCAUAUUCUUUCUUCUGGAUUGAAUGGUUCUUUUGAAUUUAUAAAUAAAUUUUAGAGCCUAA